RNAcentral lists this ribosomal RNA (490 nucleotides) under uncultured bacterium. Its description in RNAcentral is "partial 16S ribosomal RNA". It matches the Rfam family "Bacterial small subunit ribosomal RNA", at positions 30 to 507 of the family's 1533-position model. The record is from RNAcentral.
AUUGAACGCUGGCGGCAGGCCUAACACAUGCGAGUCGAACGGUAACAGGAAGCAGCUUGCUGCUUCGCUGACGAGUGGCGGACGGGUGAGUAAUGUCUGGGAAGCUGCCUGAUGGAGGGGGAUAACUACUGGAAACGGUAGCUAAUACCGCAUAAUGUCGCAAGACCAAAGAGGGGGAGCUUCGGGCCUCUUGCCAUCGGAUGUGCCCAGAUGGGAUUAGCUUGUUGGUGGGGUAACGGCUCACCAAGGCGACGAUCCCUAGCUGGUCUGAGAGGAUGACAGGCCACACUGGAACUGAGACACGGUCCAGGCUCCUACGGGAGGCAGCAGUGGGGAAUAUUGCACAAUGGGCGCAAGCCUGAUGCAGCCAUGCCGCGUGUAUGAAGAAGGCCUUCGGGUUGUAAAGUACUUUCAGCGGGGAGGAAGGGAGUAAAGUUAAUACCUUUGCUCAUUGACGUUACCCGCAGAAGAAGCACCGGCUAACUCCGUG